RNAcentral lists this ribosomal RNA (1335 nucleotides) under uncultured bacterium. RNAcentral's name for it is "bacterial SSU rRNA". It matches the Rfam family "Bacterial small subunit ribosomal RNA", at positions 29 to 1398 of the family's 1533-position model. The record is from RNAcentral.
ACGAACGCUGGCGGCGCGCAUUACGCAUGCAAGUCGAGCGCCCCGGCUUCGGUCGGGGAGCGGCGGACGGCUGAGUAACGCGUAGGUAACCUGCCCGCAAGUGGGGGAUAACCCGCCGAAAGGCGGGCUAAUACCGCAUAUGGCCCUGGGGUGAAACCCCCCAGCGUCAAAGCCGCAAGGUGCUUGCGGAGGGGCCUGCGUCCUAUCAGGUAGUUGGCGGGGUAACGGCCCACCAAGCCUGUGACGGGUAGCUGGUCUGAGAGGACGGCCAGCCAGACGGGGACUGAGACACGGCCCCGACUCCUACGGGAGGCAGCAGCGAGGAAUCUUGGGCAAUGCCCGCAAGGGUGACCCAGCGACGCCGCGUGGGGGAAGAAGGCCUUCGGGUUGUAAACCCCUUUUGCCGGGGAAGAAGCUCUGACGGUACCCGGCGAAUAAGCCACGGCUAACUACGUGCCAGCAGCCGCGGUAAUACGUAGUGGCUAGCGUUGUCCGGAUUUACUGGGCGUAAAGGGCGUGUAGGCGGCCUGUUAAGUCCGCUGUGAAAUCUCCCGGCCCAACCGGGAGGGGCCCAGCGAAUACUGGCAGGCUAGAGGGGGGCAGAGGAAGGUGGAAUUCCCGGUGUAGCGGUGAUAUGCGUAGAUAUCGGGAGGAACACCCGUGGCGAAGGCGGCCUUUCUGGGCCUCUCCUGACGCUGAGGCGCGAAAGCGUGGGGAGCGAACCGGAUUAGAUACCCGGGUAGUCCACGCCCUAAACGUUGGACACUUGGUGUGGGGAGUUUCGACCCUCUCUGUGCCGGAGCUAACGCCUUAAGUGUCCCGCCUGGGGAGUACGGCCGCAAGGCUAAAACUCAAAGGAAUUGACGGGGGCCCGCACAAGCGGCGGAGCGUGUGGUUUAAUUCGAUGCAACGCGAAGAACCUUACCAGGGCUUGACAUGCCGGUAGUACUGACUCGAAAGAGAAGGGACCCUUCGGGGAGCCGGCACAGGUGCUGCAUGGCUGUCGUCAGCUCGUGCCGUGAGGUGUUGGGUUAAGUCCCGCAACGAGCGCAACCCCCGCCGUCAGUUGCAUCUCUCUGACGGGACCGCUGGGAUAAACCCAGAGGAAGGUGGGGAUGACGUCAAGUCAGCAUGGCCCUUACGCCCUGGGCUACACACACGCUACAAUGGGCGGUACAAAGGGUAGCCACGGCGCAAGCCGGAGCUAAUCCCGAAAAGCCACCCCCAGUUCAGAUUACAGGCUGCAACUCGCCUGCAUGAAGGCGGAGUCGCUAGUAACCGCAGGUCAGCACACUGCGGUGAAUACGUUCUCGGGCCUUGUACACACCGCCCGUC